Non-coding RNA from Physcomitrium patens, 1864 nucleotides. The record is from RefSeq and is a predicted model, not a curated record. Lineage: Eukaryota; Viridiplantae; Streptophyta; Bryopsida; Funariales; Funariaceae.
UGAUCCAGUGAGAAAGCUCCGAGAAUUUCAAUGUGUCUCCCUCACUUGCACGUAUUGCCACGGUGUUUCUCAUUGUUCCAUUGAAGUGCUACAAUGCAGCAUCUUGUGUUCCAGUGAUCAGCGUGGAGCUCCUAUUUGGUGUUGUUUGGCAAGGAGGUGUUGGCAUUCAAGAGUGGGCGGUGCCCUCCACAGGUCGACGUAGUUGGAGCUGAUGUUCUUCUACGGCACUGGAUGCUCUUUGGCGGUUGUUGCAGCGGUGUUACAAGGCCUCCCUUGCUGUUGGGGUGUGCGUUAUCAGUUACAUUGCCUCAUAGGUCCUGUUUUUUUCGCAAUUCUGCACUGUGCAUCGGCAGCGGCAACUUGUAUUGAAUUUUCUUACUGCGGUGCGAUUCAAGAAAGGAGACGCUAGCCGGGGCUACUAUUCGAUUCUGCAGCAUCAAUCAUGCUGUGGAGCGUGGCUCCUUGUUGCUAGUUGCUCGUGCUUUGUUAACAACGUGAAGUUGAAGAGCCUGGUGGAAGGUGCCUUGGCGUUGGGAGUGAUUCUCUUAUUGUCGAUGGCUGCUACUCUCCUGUCUAGAUUUCGGUAGACUCGUGGCCGCGGCGUUCAAUUUCAACUCCAGCUUGCGAGGGACGGGACGUACUACACCGGAAUCCCCUUCUUUGAGGCGCUGAGUGGACUCCGGCCCAGACCUUCCCUCCUCUGUGUGGAGAUCCCAAGUAGGACUGUUUGCGCAAGUUUCUUAGUGUUGCUGGUGGUAAAAAUGCCGAGCUCAGGAUUGCAAUUUUAGUGGACAUUACGUGACAUUGCUCCACUGCUGAUCGGAAGAUAGAACGGAAGCUAGGAAGGAUUAAGAAUGUUCAUCUAAAGAGAGAUUCGCCGUCUUAUUGUUGCAUUGUUGCCGCGGAUGCAAGCAAAGCGGUCGUAGAUUGAGUCUGUUGUUCUCCUUCCGUUGCUCUUUCUUUUCAAGACGAGAAUGUGUGGCGCAUUUUUGGGGUGGAGCUGGAAUUUUAGCGUGUGGCAGAUGUAGCACCAAUGUACUUUCUCAUAAAGUAUGCCGGAGUUCUCUAUUCGACAACUUUGGAGGUGCGGCCUCGCCCUUUUGUACAUGGUUUUCCGCAGCAUAUGUGUCCAGUGCUGUUGCCGGGUUCGGAAUUGAUGUUUUGUAGAGAGGCUUUUGAAAGCUACAUCAGAGGAUUGCAGGCAAAGUUAAGUCAUUUCACCACAUGGUUGGGUUGUUGGUUUUUACAGCAGCUGUGGUUCUCUAGUGUAGCACUUGAAGGCUUGGUGCUCAGUGGAUAAAGGUUGCAACUAACUUGUAGUGCCCUGAAAGCGGACCUUGCGUAACCUCUGGGAACUGUCAAUGCACUCAGGGCAGCGAAGGAGAUUGUGAUUUAGUCGUGGAAGAUUUAUCUAAAGGAAGGAACUUGUUACUUGGUUGGUAAACUGGUGCGAUUGAAGACGUUGCUGCGGCCUGCUCGAACAAGAAGCUGCGGUAGCUGGUUUUGACUCCAGGUACACUUCUGCGAGAGGAGUGUAUUGGGAGAUUGGGAAGAUCAGAACGGCAACAGUUGGAGCAAAGUACUGGGUGGGGAACUGUGGACAUCGGCCCUCUGCGUUGCAUUCAAUUUUGGUUUUUUCUUCUGUGCGGUGAACUAGGAUUCAGCACCUACCCCUCUUCAAAGACCUCGUAUGUGGUGAGAAACUUGGUACAGAUUGAAAUUAGGAUUGGACGAAUCUCCACUUGGAUGAGAGAAGUGAAUGAUGUUAGGUUAGAUUUGAAUGAACUUAGGUUAGGAUUUAAUUAUGUUAAAAUUAGAUGUGUUCCUACAGAAUGAGAAUUAAAUAAAGGAUGAAUUUUAAGUA